UUUUCUGGACUGAAUAAGGAUCCUCUUCUAUUAUCCUAUCCAGAAGACUCUCUGUAGGGCUUCUCAGUGGAUGAGUUAUUGAGACUUGAAAGAGCAAAGGAAAGAUCAAGGGAGAGAGUUCCAGAGUCAUUUCUGGGGCACAAGUACAUGCUGAUGUCUCUAUACUCAGUUCAUCCCCACCAUCCCACCCCAUCCAGUGCCAAAGAAAAUGUUAUAUGUUUAUGAUGACAUGGUGGCAUUACCUAGAUUUUUCCUACCAGUCAAGUUUCAGAAAGAAUUAGUAGAUACCAUUUUAUUUAGUUAGGGGUAUUCUUUUUGAUGAGAACUUAUCAAGUUGGGAUCAAAGAAAUAAGCUUUAUAUAAGAUUAUUAGUAGUCCUGCUGAAAUUACAUGCUGUGUAUUGUGUGUAUAUUCUUUUUUACUAUGGAGAUCUUCAAUGGUUUUAUCAAUUUUUAAAUUAUCUUGAAGACAAAAGCUUUUAUCUAGCAUGGCUCUAUUAAUUAAAAACAGAUGUGAUUAAAGUGAAAAAUUUUGAAGGAUGUGUGGGGGUUUUAUAUAUACAUUUUUAUUAAUAUUUCAGGUGGUAUUGGCUGUGAAAUUUGCACCCUUGUGACUCUUUUUUAAUUAUAAAUGUUUUUAGGGGAAUAAAAACUUUUCAAAAGAGUUUUUUUUUUUUUUUUUGGUACUUUUCCUUUCGUCAUUCCCUAAAACCUGAAAAAAUUAGAACCGUUCUUACUGAAAAUAAAAAAUGUAUAAAACUCCAUUCAUGUUUAUUUUAUAGUCAUUUUACACACCCUUACAUAGACUUCUAGUUAUUCCAUGACUAAGUGUACAUUUUUAAAAGAUACCUAUUAUUUUUUAUGGUUGUUUUUUUUUUUUUUUUUUUUUUUUUUUUUUUUGUCUUUUCACCUUUUUCUAGGGCUAUAUGGCAUAUGGAGGUUCCCAGGCUAGGGGUCUAAUCGGAGCUGUAGCCACCGGCCUAUGCCAGAGACACAGCAACGCGGGAUCUGAGCCGCGCCUGCAACCUACACCACAGCUCACAGCAACGUCGUAUCCUUAACCCACUGAGCAAUGCCAGGGAUUGAACCCACAACCUCAUGUUUCCUAGUCAGAUUUGUUAACCACUGAGCUACGAUGGGAACUCCGAUUUUUGUUUGUUUUUGAUCACAGCUAUAAGUAGAAAACCUAAUUCUGACCUGGUCAUAAUUUUUCUUUACCUUAGUUGGAAACUCUGUAAAGUAUUUGCUCUGCCUCCUGCAUAAUAUCUCUAUCCCUGAUCAUGUGGACAUUUCCUCCCAUCUCCAUUUACUCAUAAAGAUAUUAAUUCUUUGGUGUUCCAGAGACUUAUUUUAUUUUUGCUGAAUACUAUUACCAGAUUCUCAGUUAGCCUGUGUCCAUAUCAACUGAAUAACUACUUUUCUAUUUUUCAUUAAAUAUAUGAGUUUUAAAGGCAUAGCCCAGAUAUUUUGAUAAUUUUGGUGGUGAGGGAAAGGAGAGGUUAUCCUGGUUUCUAAUGAGCCUGAGAAGGAUUCCCAUGCCAGCUCAUGUGCAUCCCUUUUUGAUGGUGAAUGCGUUUUCCCCCUAGAAGAUAUCUGAAGCCCAAGAGCUAUAGUCGUUGCACCAGAAGUAUUUUUUUGCAAUUUUUUUCUUCUCUUAGUGAAUCAAUUUUCCAGAAGAAAAAGUUGAAAUUUGAUAAGAUCAAUGUGGAAAGCCAAAAGUUGCUCUGAGUUAUGAUGUUAUUUCUCAGCCAGAUGCUUGUCUCUUCUGCCCAGCUGCAGAAUUUCUCUGUACACAGGGGUCUCUUUAGUGCCAAGGGGGAUAAGCGAAAAGAGAUGAAAAUAUAUCUGCUGUUGCAUCGAUGACCCCACUCGCACUGUUUCCUGCAGCGAGUUUUCCUUAGAAUCCUCAGAGGAAUGCUUUGCCUAACCACCCAUCCCAGCAUUUAGGAUUUACUUUAAAGAUGGUCAGUUAAUAUUUCUUGAACAUAAACCUUUGGCCAGAGUAACUGGAAAUUUGAGUUUAUUAAACUUUUACAUACUUAACUAGGGUCUACAGGGUAUUUUAAAUUCAGUCAUUUGGCUUCAGCUCUACUUUCUUACCCCCCAAAAUAUACAGUGUGAAAUGUAUGAGAAUUGGAUAAUGUAUUUUUUCCAGGUCCUCAGUAUCUUAUUUCUUCCAGAUAAUAGAGAAAAAAUAUACAGCCUUGCCAUGAAUAAACACACUAGACAUAGCUUGAAUUUCUAGGAAAAUUAAACAGAAGUGGUAAUGAGUUGGAACCAAGGCCCUUAAAUACCAUAUAUGUGUGUGUGUGUGUGUGUGUGUGUGUGUGUGUGUACAUGCGCGUGUGUGUGUGUGCACUCGCGUGUGUGUGUGUGUGUGUGUGUGUGGAUGUGCGAAAACCUCCUUGAGAAAGAGACAAAACAUAAUGGAAUAGUUAAAUGACUUACGAGACACCAUGCUAUGGAACAUUAGGUAACUAACUUAAAAAAAACUGUAGUGGUACUGACUUGGGAGGUUUUCCAUAACGUAUUUUGGGGGAAAAAGUUAAAUAAAUCAAAAUCUAGUGUAAUAUAUAUGGUAGGAUCUCUUUUCUCACAGGAAAAAAUAAAUCUGUAUUAAUCAUUUUUAGCACACAUAUGUAUAUACAGAAAUAUAAUUUUAGUCCAUUUGUUUUACAAAAACAAGUCCGCAUAAUGUUCAUGCAGUGAAAAUGUCUUGAAAACACACACGUUAGUAAUUAUAUCAGGGAAAAUGAAUGACUAAGAAAGGAAAGAGGCCAUCUUGUUUUAUGCUUUACAUACUUCUGUAAUACUAGAUUUUUUUAACCUCAAGAAAGUGUUAUUUUUAUGAUUUAAAACAGUCAGGUAUGAUAUUUAUUGAAUAGUUGUUCAAAUGUUUGUUUUGUGUGGCCUGCUAUUUGGCGGCAUUCUCUAUAGCAAUAUUUACUGGAAUGUCUCAAGUAAGUUUUUCAACAGAAAUGAAUGAAAUAAUAUUGGGUUUGUGGUAUAUUCUUAGAUUAUAUAAAGCUUUAUUCUGUUAAGAAUCUAUGUUGUAUUUUUCUCUUCCUAUUUCACAGCAAUAAGAGUGACCCCUUUUGUUCUUUUACCUGCCCAUUAGAGUCCUAGAGACAUUCCUUCCCAUCAAUCUGUACCUAGUCCGUUGACAAUUUUGCCACCAAAGUGUUGUUUAUGAACUUAUCAAAGCCUGACUUGAAUGUCCCUAGCAGGACUCUGAACCACCCCUUAGAGGAAGUGAUCUGGAAGUAACACUACUUAUUGUUCAUCUUGGUUACUGUGUCUCUUUCACCAGCCUUCUUUCAAGUUAAGCUAAACUAAAAUACUCGCAGAAAUUGAUUUGUUUUCCAUGCAAGGCAAUCUUUCAACAUGGUCUAAAUCCCACUUAUUGGCCCUGUACUUUCUACUGGGGACUGAGCUUGAAAUAGAAUCAAUAUUCAUAUGUAACUUACUUUUUUAGUAUAAGAAAUAUGCAUUUGUAUGUAUUCUUGGUGGAGUAGAUGGUACUCAUGCAUUGGUUUUAAAUACAGUUUACCUACUAUGUUUGGAAAAGUUCCUUAAACAUCGCAAGCCUUAGUUUUCUACUUCUGUUAAAAG
RNAcentral lists this long non-coding RNA (3611 nucleotides) under Sus scrofa (pig). RNAcentral's name for it is "lncRNA (ENSSSCG00045032144.1)". Lineage: Eukaryota; Metazoa; Chordata; Mammalia; Artiodactyla; Suidae. The record is from RNAcentral.